AAACAACAGGNAUUGCUCAGUAACGGCGAGUGAAGCGGCAACAGCUCAAAUUUGAAAUCUGGCCUCUGGCCCGAGUUGUAAUUUGCAGAGGAUGUUUCUGGCGAGGUGCCUUCCGAGUUCCCUGGAACGGGACGCCAUAGAGGGUGAGAGCCCCGUACGGUUGGUCGCUAAGCCUCUGUGAAACUCCUUCGACGAGUCGAGUAGUUUGGGAAUGCUGCUCUAAAUGGGAGGUGUACGCCUUCUUAAGCUAAAUACCGGCUAGAGACCGAUAGCGCACAAGUAGAGUGAUCGAAAGAUGAAAAGCACUUUGAAAAGAGGGUUAAAAAGUACGUGAAAUUGUUGAAAGGGAAGCGCUCUUGACCAGACUUGCGCCGGUUGAUCAUCCGCCGUUCUCGGUGGUGCACUCUGCCGGCUCAGGCCAGCAUCAGUUCGGUCCGGGGGAUAAAGGCUUCGGGAAUGUGGCUCUCUCCGGGGAGUGUUAUAGCCCGUUGCGUAAUACCUGGGCUGGACUGAGGUUCGCGCAUCUGCAUGGAUGCUGGCGUAAUGGUUAUCAGUGACCCGUCUUGAAACACGGACCCAAGGAGUCGUCUUCGUAUGCGAGUGUUCGGGUGUCAAACCCCUACGCGUAAUGAAAGUGAACGUAGGAGAGAGCUUCGGCGCAUCUCCGACCGAUCCUGAUGUUCUCGGAUGGAUUUGAGUAAGAGCAUACGGGGCCGGACCCGAAAGAAGGUGAACUAUGCCUGUAUAGGGUGAAGCCAGAGGAAACUCUGGUGGAGGCUCGCAGCGGUUCUGACGUGCA
RNAcentral lists this ribosomal RNA (799 nucleotides) under Gliomastix murorum. RNAcentral describes it as "eukaryotic LSU rRNA". It matches the Rfam family "Eukaryotic large subunit ribosomal RNA", at positions 63 to 895 of the family's 3401-position model. Lineage: Eukaryota; Fungi; Ascomycota; Sordariomycetes; Hypocreales; Bionectriaceae. The record is from RNAcentral.